This 1450-nucleotide ribosomal RNA is filed under the name uncultured cyanobacterium. Its description in RNAcentral is "bacterial SSU rRNA". It matches the Rfam family "Bacterial small subunit ribosomal RNA". The record is from RNAcentral. Lineage: Bacteria; Bacillati; Cyanobacteriota.
AGAGUUUGAUCCUGGCUCAGGAUGAACGCUGGCGGUCUGCUUAACACAUGCAAGUCGAACGGAAUUCUUCGGGAUUUAGUGGCGGACGGGUGAGUAACACGUGAGAAUCUGCACUCAGGAUGGGGACAACAGCGGGAAACUGCUGCUAAUACCCAAUGUGCCGAAAGGUGAAAGAUUUAUCGCCUGAGAAUGAGCUCGCGGCCGAUUAGUUAGUUGGUGGGGUAAAGGCCUACCAAGACGGCGAUCGGUAGCUGGUCUGAGAGGAUGAGCAGCCACACUGGGACUGAGACACGGCCCAGACUCCUACGGGAGGCAGCAGUGGGGAAUUUUCCGCAAUGGGCGCAAGCCUGACGGAGCAAGACCGCGUGGGGGAGGAAGGCUCUUGGGCUGUAAACCCCUUUUCUCAGGGAAGAACACAAUGACGGUACCUGAGGAAUCAGCCUCGGCUAACUCCGUGCCAGCAGCCGCGGUAAUACGGAGGAGGCAAGCGUUAUCCGGAAUUAUUGGGCGUAAAGCGUCCGCAGGUGGUGGGGCAAGUCGGCGGUUAAAGACUGGGGCUUAACUCCAGAAAGGCCGUGGAAACUGCACCACUAGAGGGCAGUAGGGGUAGAGGGAAUUCCCGGUGUAGCGGUGAAAUGCGUAGAGAUCGGGAAGAACACCAGUGGCGAAAGCGCUCUACUGGACUGCAACUGACACUCAGGGACGAAAGCUAGGGGAGCGAAUGGAAUUAGAUACCCCAGUAGUCCUAGCCGUAAACGAUGGAUACUAGGUGUUGUCUGUAUCGACCCAGACAGUGCCGUAGCUAACGCGAUAAGUAUCCCGCCUGGGGAGUACGCACGCAAGUGUGAAACUCAAAGGAAUUGACGGGGGCCCGCACAAGCGGUGGAGUAUGUGGUUUAAUUCGAUGCAACGCGAAAAACCUUACCAGGGCUUGACAUGUCGCGAACCCCGCUGAAAGGUGGGGGUGCCUUCGGGAGCGCGAACACAGGUGGUGCAUGGCUGUCGUCAGCUCGUGUCGUGAGAUGUUGGGUUAAGUCCCGCAACGAGCCGCAACCCUCGUUCUUAGUUGCCAUCAUUCAGUUGGGCACUCUAGGGAGACUGCCGGUGAUAAACCGGAGGAAGGUGGGGAUGACGUCAAGUCAUCAUGCCCCUUACGUCCUGGGCUACACACGUACUACAAUGGGUGGGACAAAGGGCAGCGAACUCGCAAGAGCCGGCUAAUCCCAUAAACCUACCCUCAGUUCAGAUUGCUCUCUGCAACUCGAGAGCAUGAAGGAGGAAUCGCUAGUAAUCGCAGGUCAGCAUACUGCGGUGAAUACGUUCCCGGGCCUUGUACACACCGCCCGUCACACCAUGGAAGUUGGCCAUGCCCGAAGUCAUUACUCUAACCCCUCGGGGAGGAGGAUGCCGAAGGCAGGGCUGAUGACUGGGGUGAAGUCGUAACAAGGUA